AUUGAACGCUGGCGGCAUGCCUUACACAUGCAAGUCGAACGGCAGCACGGGGCAACCUGGUGGCGAGUGGCGAACGGGUGAGUAAUGCAUCGGAACGUGCCAUUGAGUGGGGGAUAACGUAGCGAAAGUUGCGCUAAUACCGCAUAUUCUGUGAGCAGGAAAGCAGGGGAUCGCAAGACCUUGCGCUGAUUGAGCGGCCGAUAUCAGAUUAGCUAGUUGGUGGGGUAAAGGCCUACCAAGGCGACGAUCUGUAGCGGGUCUGAGAGGGUGAUCCGCCACACUGGAACUGAGACACGGUCCAGACUCCUACGGGAGGCAGCAGUGGGGAAUUUUGGACAAUGGGGGGCAACCCUGAUCCAGCCAUGCCGCGUGAGUGAAGAAGGCC
This 385-nucleotide ribosomal RNA is filed under the name uncultured bacterium. RNAcentral's name for it is "bacterial SSU rRNA". It matches the Rfam family "Bacterial small subunit ribosomal RNA", at positions 30 to 416 of the family's 1533-position model. The record is from RNAcentral.